UGCAGCGACGCCGCGUGAGGGAUGACGGCCUUCGGGUUGUAAACCUCUUUCAGUAGGGAAGAAGCGAAAGUGACGGUACCUGCAGAAGAAGCGCCGGCUAACUACGUGCCAGCAGCCGCGGUAAUACGUAGGGCGCAAGCGUUAUCCGGAAUUAUUGGGCGUAAAGAGCUCGUAGGCGGUUUGUCGCGUCUGCCGUGAAAGUCCGGGGCUCAACUCCGGAUCUGCGGUGGGUACGGGCAGACUAGAGUGAUGUAGGGGAGACUGGAAUUCCUGGUGUAGCGGUGAAAUGCGCAGAUAUCAGGAGGAACACCGAUGGCGAAGGCAGGUCUCUGGGCAUUAACUGACGCUGAGGAGCGAAAGCAUGGGGAGCGAACAGGAUUAGAUACCCUGGUAGUCCAUGCCGUAAACGUUGGGCACUAGGUGUGGGGGACAUUCCACGUUUUCCGCGCCGUAGCUAACGCAUUAAGUGCCCCGCCUGGGGAGUACGGCCGCAAGGCUAAAACUCAAAGGAAUUGACGGGGGCCCGCACAAGCGGCGGAGCAUGCGGAUUAAUUCGAUGCAACGCGAAGAACCUUACCAAGGCUUGACAUGGACCGGACCGGGCUGGAAACAGUCCUUCCCCUUUGGGGCCGGUUCACAGGUGGUGCAUGGUUGUCGUCAGCUCGUGUCGUGAGAUGUUGGGUUAAGUCCCGCAACGAGCGCAACCCUCGUUCCAUGUUGCCAGCGCGUAAUGGCGGGGACUCAUGGGAGACUGCCGGGGUCAACUCGGAGGAAGGUGGGGACGACGUCAAAUCAUCAUGCCCCUUAUGUCUUGGGCUUCACGCAUGCUACAAUGGCCGGUACAAAGGGUUGCGAUACUGUGAGGUGGAGCUAAUCCCAAAAAGCCGGUCUCAGUUCGGAUUGGGGUCUGCAACUCGACCCCAUGAAGUCGGAGUCGCUAGUAAUCGCAGAUCAGCAACGCUGCGGUGAAUACGUUCCCGGGCCUUGUACACACCGCCCGUCAAGUCACGAAAGUUGGUAACACCCGAAGCCGGUGGCCUAACCCCUUGUGGGAGGGAGCUGUCGAAGGUGGG
Molecule: ribosomal RNA, 1073 nt
Filed under: Arthrobacter oryzae
Lineage: Bacteria; Bacillati; Actinomycetota; Actinomycetes; Micrococcales; Micrococcaceae
Description: bacterial SSU rRNA
Rfam family: Bacterial small subunit ribosomal RNA
Source: RNAcentral